AAAAUGACUCUCGGCAACGGAUAUCUCGGCUCUCGCAUCGAUGAAGAACGUAGCGAAAUGCGAUACCUGGUGUGAAUUGCAGAAUCCCGUGAACCAUCGAGUCUUUGAACGCAAGUUGCGCCCGAAGCCUUCUGGCCGAGGGCACGCCUGCCUGGGUGUCAUGC
RNAcentral lists this ribosomal RNA (164 nucleotides) under Turnera lucida. RNAcentral's name for it is "5.8S ribosomal RNA". It matches the Rfam family "5.8S ribosomal RNA". From Rfam's summary of the family: 5.8S ribosomal RNA (5.8S rRNA) is a component of the large subunit of the eukaryotic ribosome. Lineage: Eukaryota; Viridiplantae; Streptophyta; Magnoliopsida; Malpighiales; Passifloraceae. The record is from RNAcentral.